Agelaius phoeniceus (red-winged blackbird) is the source of this 326-nucleotide non-coding RNA. The record is from RefSeq and is a predicted model, not a curated record. NCBI's taxonomy places the organism in Eukaryota, Metazoa, Chordata, Aves, Passeriformes, Icteridae.
AAUAACAACAAUAAAAUGCAAGAUUUUGAUUAGAACAAAGAGCAAGCCCUUCCUUUUCAUGCCACAAAGUGUUGUGAGCACUGGGAACUUUUGAAGUGGUGUUUGAUUCUGUCGACCUCCUGACCCCUCUCUAGAAUGAAGUCAGCUGUGAGAAAAAGGCACAGAGAGUAGCAGGGUAAAUGGACAUGGUUUUUGUCUGAAUUAUUGUUCUCUAUUAAUGAAUUUAGAGAUUUGCACCGUUAUUUUAAAAAUAGAAGACCUGCAUUUGUAGUCUCCAGCUGGAAUAUAAGUUUGCAACAAAGAAAAACCAAAUUUAAUUUCUCUAA